AACGCACCUUGCGCUCCUUGGUAUUCCGAGGAGCAUGCCUGUUUGAGUAUCAUUAAAUUAUCAACCCUCCAGCUUUGUUGCCGGGGUGGCUUGGAUGUGAAGGUUGCCGGCGCAAGUCAGCUCCUUCUAAAUGCAUUAGCAGAAACUCGUUCCCUGCGAUCGGUGUGAUAAUUAUCUACGCCGUUCCAAGGGGGAGAAAAAGAGGAUCAGCUUCUAACCGUCCUUCGGGACUUACCUUUUUAAUCUUGAUCUCAAAUCAGGUAGGAUUACCCGCUGAACUUAA
This 283-nucleotide unclassified non-coding RNA is filed under the name uncultured fungus. Its description in RNAcentral is "partial contains 5.8S ribosomal RNA, internal transcribed spacer 2, and large subunit ribosomal RNA". The record is from RNAcentral. Lineage: Eukaryota; Fungi.